GAGGUCCCUUUCCGUUUAGGAUUCAGAAUAGAUUCAAGGUAUCUCUUGAGGUGCAUUUUUGGGAAGUACUGGGUUUUCACAUAAUUUAAAAUGAUUCCUCUGGCUUUACCUAAAAAAGACCCAAUACACCUUUCUCUCUCUUUUUCCCCUUACUUACUGUAAUAGUUUCCUUUUGCUGCUGUAACAAGUUAUCACAAACUUCAUGGCUGAAAACUGUAUUAUCUUAGAGUUGUGGAAGUCAGAUCUGAAAUGAUUUUCACUGGGCUAGCAAGAAGGUGUUGGCAGGCCAGGGUUCCUUCUGCAGGCUCUAGGGAGAAUCUGUUUCCUUGCCUCUUCCAGCUUCUACAGGCUGCCUGUGUUCCUUCGCUCGUGGGCCCUUCCUCCAUCUUCAAGCCAGCAACUUAGCCCCUUCUCUCCUCUCUAACCUCUGCUCCCACCCUUACAUCUUUUCUUUCUGACCAGCUCUACUGCCUCUCUUUUAUAAGGAUAUUUGUGGUUACGUUGGGCAACAUGUAUAAACAUGGAUAAUCUCCUCAUCUCAAGAGCCAUAACUUAAUCACAUCUGCAAAGUAAGGUCUCUUUUGCCAUAUAAGGUAACAUGUUCACAGGUUCUCAGAAUUAGGACAUGGACAACUUGGGGGGCCAUUAUUCAGCAGACCACAUUUAAUUAGUGUUUAGAGUUUCCCUGGCAGAUAUGUGCAGAUAUCUUGAUCUGAGUGUUUCAAAUACAAACUAUACCUAACUUUCCACACACAAGGAAUGAUUACUGAUGAUGUGUAAAGAUUGAAUUUUAUUUUUCAUCCAUAUUUUUAAAAAUACUAAUUUUUUUAAAUAUCUUCAGAGUAUGAAAGAAUUUUCAUUUUGCUUGAAGGAGUGCAAGGACCUCUUGCAGUGAGGAAACAAUUUAUUGAAUUUACCAUCAAGGAAGCUGCAAGGUUCAAAAGACGAGUCUUAAUUCAGUACCUUGAGAAGCUACUAGAA
Aethalodelphis obliquidens (Pacific white-sided dolphin) is the source of this 981-nucleotide long non-coding RNA. RefSeq lists it as uncharacterized. The transcript is spliced from 3 exons. The record is from RefSeq and is a predicted model, not a curated record. NCBI's taxonomy places the organism in Eukaryota, Metazoa, Chordata, Mammalia, Artiodactyla, Delphinidae.